GGGCAUAUAGCUCAGUGGUAGAGUGUGUACUUAGAAUGCACAAGGUCCUGGGUUCAAUCCCCAGUACCACCA
This 72-nucleotide transfer RNA is filed under the name Camelus bactrianus (Bactrian camel). It matches the Rfam family "tRNA". Rfam says of the family: Transfer RNA (tRNA) molecules are approximately 80 nucleotides in length. Their secondary structure includes four short double-helical elements and three loops (D, anti-codon, and T loops). The record is from Rfam by way of RNAcentral. Lineage: Eukaryota; Metazoa; Chordata; Mammalia; Artiodactyla; Camelidae. RNAcentral also lists the same sequence under 2 other names.